Long non-coding RNA from Musca domestica (house fly), 1095 nucleotides. RefSeq lists it as uncharacterized. NCBI's taxonomy places the organism in Eukaryota, Metazoa, Arthropoda, Insecta, Diptera, Muscidae. The record is from RefSeq and is a predicted model, not a curated record. The transcript is spliced from 2 exons.
UCUUCAAUUUCCCCUGUUGCCAAAUUUAGUACCAUUUAGUACAAUUUUAUUACAUAUGUUCCAAACCAACUCCAUAUCUCAACAUAAGAUACCAACAGAGAAACAUCAAUAUCAAAUUUCGGGACUCCAGCUCUAUAGAUUCCCUGAAUACAAAAUUUAGUACCAUUUAGUACUUUUUGUACAAAUAUAGGACGUCAACAGUGACAUCCAUUUCAAAUUUCCUUCACCGAAUACCAAAUUUAGUACAAUUCAGUACUCAUAUCUCAAUCCCAAAUACCAACACAGACCUCAAUAUCAAAUUUCGAGUUUCCAGUUCUAUCCCUUCACCGAAUACCAAAUUUAGUACCAUUUAGUAUUUUCGAAUUCAAUUUUUUUGUUUGAAAAUUUCAGCUUCAUCCGUUCACACUUAAGUAAACUGUUCCAAAUUUAGUACAAUUUUGUACAGUUCCCUCACUUACUAGACAUUUCCAAAACCACCUCCAUGCAUUAAACUUACAGCCAGUUCCACGAUAUCGAAAGAACACGUUCGCACAACUUUUACACGACAAACAGCUGAUUUCCGUUCCACUAAAAUCUAUCAGAACGAAAAUUUGCACGAAAAUCAAAGCGAACGAAAACGUAAGCAUUUCAGUGUAAUUUUGCGUUCCACUAUCUUUUUUCUUUCGUACGCAUGCGAACACAAAUGUCAAAAUCAGUCACUUGUGUGUUUGCUGUCGUAUGAUAACAAUUAAGGAAAAUUGUUUUAACAUAAACAUUGCUUGAUUGAAAAUGGAAACAAAAAUCACGAAAAAAUCAUCAACUACACAGCUGCGGGCACUAGUUGAGUAAAUGGAGGAGAAUCCUGUGUUCGCCAGAGGAAUGCCAAUUUUUGGAAGCAGCAGAAGAAGUUUUAAAUCGGGGCGGAUUUGGGUAGUUCUGCAACCAGGCACCCACUUCUCUUCCUUCAUAUCCAAAAGAGCCCGAAAACUUCCUUCGACACACGAAAGUUGGCCACAAACCUAGAAAAAAUCAUUUUUUAUUAUUUCAAAAAUGUAAAAAUACAAUCAUACUUACUGGUUGUUAGGUACUUCAAAUAAAUUCGAAGCAUCUCUUAAA